GUAGGUGGCAAGCGUUGUCCGGAAUUAUUGGGCGUAAAGCGCGCGCAGGCGGUUCUUUAAGUCUGAUGUGAAAGCCCACGGCUCAACCGUGGAGGGUCAUUGGAAACUGGAGAACUUGAGUACAGAAGAGGAAAGCGGAAUUCCACGUGUAGCGGUGAAAUGCGUAGAGAUGUGGAGGAACACCAGUGGCGAAGGUGGCUUUCUGGUCUGUAACUGACGCUGAGGCGCGAAAGCGUGGGGAGCAAACAGGGAUUAGAUACCCUGGUAGUCCACGCCGUAAACGAUGAGUGCUAAGUGUUAGGGGGUUUCCGCCCCCUUAGUGCUGCAGCUAACGCAUUAAGCACUCCGCCUGGGGAUACGGCCGCAAGGCUG
This 372-nucleotide ribosomal RNA is filed under the name uncultured organism. RNAcentral's name for it is "partial 16S ribosomal RNA". It matches the Rfam family "Bacterial small subunit ribosomal RNA", at positions 527 to 896 of the family's 1533-position model. The record is from RNAcentral.